RNAcentral lists this ribosomal RNA (371 nucleotides) under uncultured bacterium. RNAcentral's name for it is "bacterial SSU rRNA". It matches the Rfam family "Bacterial small subunit ribosomal RNA", at positions 524 to 898 of the family's 1533-position model. The record is from RNAcentral.
UACGUAGGGGGCAAGCGUUGUCCGGAUUUAUUGGGCGUAAAGGGUGCGUAGGCGGCCUUUUAAGUCAGAUGUGAAAGGUCACGGCUCAACCGUGGUAAGCAUUUGAAACUGAAAGGCUUGAGUCAAGGAGAGGAAAGUGGAAUUCCUAGUGUAGCGGUGAAAUGCGUAGAUAUUAGGAGGAAUACCAGUGGCGAAGGCGACUUUCUGGACUUGUACUGACGCUGAGGCACGAAAGCGUGGGGAGCGAACAGGAUUAGAUACCCUGGUAGUCCACGCCGUAAACGAUGAGUGCUAGGUGUUGGGGGUCAAACCUCAGUGCCGCAGCUAACGCAUUAAGCACUCCGCCUGGGGAGUACGUACGCAAGUAUGAA